This 941-nucleotide long non-coding RNA is filed under the name Olea europaea subsp. europaea. The record is from RNAcentral. Lineage: Eukaryota; Viridiplantae; Streptophyta; Magnoliopsida; Lamiales; Oleaceae.
AAACACCUUGCAUAGAGGGCAAGGCCCUGAGGCCAAUGCCAAGGCCUGGCUAUGCAUUCUUCCACCGGAGUAUAGUUACCAAAGUGAAGAGGUUUCACAAACCGAAACCCGAGGAGCUUCACAAUGUCUAAUUUGCAGCUCCGUAGUGAAACAAGAUUUUGAAUUUAUGCUUAAGAUUUUUUUGGAAUGAUUAAUGUGACAUUUGUUAUGAGUGUAAGUGUCUUGUCAAUAGGGUGUCUAUCACGUGUAAGAACGUUAGAUGUGCUAUAAGCUAGGAAAGUCAAAUUAAUGACUAGAAUUAGAUGUUUGAAUUAGGGAAAAGCCAUUCAAACAGGGAAUGGCUCCAGGGUUUGGAACAAGGAGCCCCCUAUUGAUUGGGCGUCCGACAUUAAGGAGAUGAGGCUACGUUUAUGUCCAUCCUAGGGCUGCCACUUCACCGACACUACUAUAAAUACUUUCGAUGUAACACUUGAAGACUAAUGUAACUUUGAAUACAAAAUACAACUUUAAAUGCAACUCUCAAUACUCUAAGUUACCAUUUUGCACUCUCUUGUUUAUAUCACUUUGCUUUGUUUGAAUAUAGUUGUUUAUGAUCAUUAAAUAUUAACAUACAUUGCUGGAAUCCGAACAUUAUUGUCUCGUGUCAGAGAGUUGUUACCACGACCCAUUUUGGAGUGUUCUUGACCGUUGAUUUGUCUAUGCGUGUUGGAACUAGCUCAUGUGUGCGUGAAUGAGUCCGAUAUCUUUUGUCCAUGUGGUCCUAACCCAAAACAAGGUCAACAUAUUAGUUUGGGCUAUAAAGGGACUUGGACCAAAGGUUUAUGCAUGGUUGUCUCACAAUGAUUAAUGAUGUCUCACAAUGAUUAAUGAGAAAAUUAUCUAAAAUCCUAUAAUUAAAGAUUAGUUUUCAUUAAUGAAAGGCUUAUGUUUAAACUUCAUAU